RNAcentral lists this unclassified non-coding RNA (262 nucleotides) under uncultured Ascomycota. Its description in RNAcentral is "sequence contains 5.8S rRNA gene, ITS2, 28S rRNA gene". The stretch from base 1 to 52 matches the Rfam family "5.8S ribosomal RNA", at positions 103 to 154 of the family's 154-position model. Lineage: Eukaryota; Fungi; Ascomycota. The record is from RNAcentral.
AACGCAUAUUGCGCCCUCUGGUAUUCCGGGGGGCAUGCCUGUCCGAGCGUCAUUACUACCUUCAAGCACGGCUUGUGUGUUGAGCAUUUUGUUUCAUUUUCAGUGAACAAGGCUUGAAAUGCAGUGGCGAUGCCUUAAAUUGGUUGCCUGAACGUAUAGGGCUAUGUCACACGUUCUUGUGGCUCCAGUUGUGCAUCUUGUUCCAACUUCUAAAAAAUCUCGAAUUGACCUCGGAUCAGGUAGGAAUACCCGCUGAACUUAA